GUGGGGAAUUUUGGACAAUGGGCGCAAGCCUGAUCCAGCAAUGCCGCGUGCAGGAAGAAGGCCUUCGGGUUGUAAACUGCUUUUGUACGGAACGAAACGGUCCUGGUUAAUACCUGGGGCUAAUGACGGUACCGUAAGAAUAAGCACCGGCUAACUACGUGCCAGCAGCCGCGGUAAUACGUAGGGUGCAAGCGUUAAUCGGAAUUACUGGGCGUAAAGCGUGCGCAGGCGGUUUUGUAAGACAGGCGUGAAAUCCCCGGGCUCAACCUGGGAAUUGCGCUUGGGACUGCAAGGCUGGAGUGCGGCAGAGGGGGAUGGAAUUCCGCGUGUAGCAGUGAAAUGCGUAGAUAUGCGGAGGAACACCGAUGGCGAAGGCAAUCCCCUGGGCCUGCACUGACGCUCAUGCACGAAAGCGUGGGGAGCAAACAGGAUUAGAAACCCUAGUAGUCC
Molecule: ribosomal RNA, 450 nt
Filed under: uncultured bacterium
Lineage: Bacteria
Description: partial 16S ribosomal RNA
Rfam family: Bacterial small subunit ribosomal RNA
Source: RNAcentral